RNAcentral lists this RNase P RNA (312 nucleotides) under Tenacibaculum maritimum. Its description in RNAcentral is "RNase P RNA component class A". It matches the Rfam family "Bacterial RNase P class A". From Rfam's summary of the family: Ribonuclease P (RNase P) is a ubiquitous endoribonuclease, found in archaea, bacteria and eukarya as well as chloroplasts and mitochondria. The record is from RNAcentral. Lineage: Bacteria; Pseudomonadati; Bacteroidota; Flavobacteriia; Flavobacteriales; Flavobacteriaceae.
AAAGCAGACCUAUCUUAUCGACUUAAGUAAAUUAAGUAGGAAAGUCCGGACACCAUAGAGCAAGCAUAGCGGAUAACAUCCGUCCAGCGUAAGCUGAGGACCAGUGCAACAGAAAGAAUGUACAGUUCGGCUGUAGUGAAACCAGGUAAACUCUAUGCGGUGCAAUGCCAUGUACAUUAGAGCUUGAGAGCUGCUCGCUCGAUUCUAAGGGGUAGGCAGAUGGAUUCUAAAAGUAAUUUUAGAGCUAGAUAAAUGAUAGGACCUCUGAAGUAAGUAGGAGGACAGGAUCCGGCUUAUUGGUCUGCUUUGUUA